CAGCCCCUCGAGUGGUGGGGAUGAUUAUUUGGCCUAAAGCGUCCGUAGCCGGCCGGGUAAGUCCCCCGUUAAAUCCAGCGUCUCAAGCGUUGGACUGCGGGAGAUACUACUUGGCUAGAGAGUGGGAGAGGUCAGCGGUAUUCUGGGGGUAGGGGCGAAAUCCUUUGAUCCCCGGAGGACCACCAGUGGCGAAGGCUGCUGACUAGAACACGUCUGACGGUCAGGGACGAAAGCUGGGGUAGCGAACCGGAUUAGAUACCCGAGUAGUCC
RNAcentral lists this ribosomal RNA (270 nucleotides) under uncultured archaeon. RNAcentral describes it as "partial 16S ribosomal RNA". It matches the Rfam family "Archaeal small subunit ribosomal RNA", at positions 477 to 747 of the family's 1478-position model. The record is from RNAcentral.